This 253-nucleotide ribosomal RNA is filed under the name uncultured bacterium. RNAcentral's name for it is "partial 16S ribosomal RNA". It matches the Rfam family "Bacterial small subunit ribosomal RNA", at positions 524 to 776 of the family's 1533-position model. The record is from RNAcentral.
UACGUAGGGUGCAGGCGUUAUUCGGAAUUACUGGGCGUAAAGCGUGCGCAGGCGGUCUUUUAAGUCAGAUGUGAAAUCCCCGGGCUUAACCUGGGAACUGCGUUUGAAACUGGAAGGCUAGAGUGUGGCAGAGGGGGGUGGAAUUCCACGUGUAGCAGUGAAAUGCGUAGAGAUGUGGAGGAACACCGAUGGCGAAGGCAGCCCCCUGGGCUAACACUGACGCUCAUGCACGAAAGCGUGGGGAGCAAACAGG